This 562-nucleotide ribosomal RNA is filed under the name uncultured bacterium. Its description in RNAcentral is "partial 16S ribosomal RNA". It matches the Rfam family "Bacterial small subunit ribosomal RNA", at positions 355 to 932 of the family's 1533-position model. The record is from RNAcentral.
UGGGGAAUAUUGGACAAUGGGCGGAAGCCUGAUCCAGCAACGCCGCGUGAGGGAUGACGGCCUUCGGGUUGUAAACCUCUUUCAGUACCGACGAAGCGGAAGUGACGGUAGGUACAGAAGAAGGACCGGCCAACUACGUGCCAGCAGCCGCGGUAAUACGUAGGGUCCGAGCGUUGUCCGGAAUUAUUGGGCGUAAAGGGCUCGUAGGCGGUUUGUCGCGUCGGGAGUGAAAACAGCGGGCUUAACUCGUUGCUUGCUUUCGAUACGGGCAGACUAGAGGUAUGCAGGGGAGAAUGGAAUUCCUGGUGUAGCGGUGAAAUGCGCAGAUAUCAGGAGGAACACCGGUGGCGAAGGCGGUUCUCUGGGCAUUACCUGACGCUGAGGAGCGAAAGUGUGGGGAGCGAACAGGAUUAGAUACCCUGGUAGUCCACACCGUAAACGUUGGGCGCUAGGUGUGGGGUCCUUUCCACGGAUUCCGUGCCGUAGCUAACGCAUUAAGCGCCCCGCCUGGGGAGUACGGCCGCAAGGCUAAAACUCAAAUGAAUUGACGGGGUCAUAGCUG